This 982-nucleotide long non-coding RNA is filed under the name Elaeis guineensis (African oil palm). Its description in RNAcentral is "long non-coding RNA (EGUI_LNC077053)". Lineage: Eukaryota; Viridiplantae; Streptophyta; Magnoliopsida; Arecales; Arecaceae. The record is from RNAcentral.
UUAGUUCAAAUUUUUUUCAAACUGAAACUUUUAAAACUUUUCUUCUUCAGAAUGAAUAGGUUAAAGGGUUUCAAAAUUUAUUAAAAAUUAUUUUGUGACGCACUAACAUUCAAAGAUCAAUUAUCGUCAAUUUUGGUUUCAAAAAAAUACAUAUUUUAUAUAGCCCUCCAUAUAGGUGCUAGUUUUCUGACUUAGAAAAUUUUCUGGAUCCUUAACGGCAGAUAGUCACAAAUUAUGCCCAAUUAGCUUCAAUAAAUUUUCACAAAGUAAGUUUAAUUCAAACUACUUUGAAUCAAUAGUUGAAUUGUAAACCACUUUGAAUUAAACUUGUCAAAAUUUGUUGAAGUCAGUUGGGCAUAAUUUGUAACUAUCUGUCAUUACGGAUUCUGAAAAUUUUUUAAGUCAGAAAACUAGCACCUAUAUGGAGGGCUAUAUAAAAUAUAUAUUUUUUUGAAAUAAAAAUUGAUGGUAAUUGAUCUUUGAAUGUUAGUGAGUCACAAAAUAAUUUUUAAUGAAUUUUGAGAUCCUUUAACCUAUUCGUUCUAAAGAAGGAAUGUUUUAAAAGUUUCGGAUUUGGAAAAAAUUUGAACUAAAACUCAAGUUGACUUCUUAUUCUUGAGGAUUUUAAUUUUUUUGAUAUUUUUAUUGAUUCCAAAUAGGGAGGUAUUUGCUUAUUUAUAUUUAUAUUUUAAAAUUAAUGGAGAGUAAAAUAAAUAUUAUUUACACAGAAGAAAGACAUAGAAAAGGGGAGAGUCGCUCUAUCAAAAGGAAGACAUAGAAAAGGGGAGAGUCACGCUAUCAAAGGGCGAUUUAUAAAGCGCCUGACAUAGAAAAGUGGAGAGUUGCAUGUUAUUUACACAGAACAUAGAAAAGGGGAGAGUAGGAAGAUAUAGAAAAGGAGAGUGUCGCCCUAUCAAAGGGUGAUUUAUAAAGCGCCUGACAUAGAAAAGUGGAGUCGCAUGUUGUUUACACAGAACAUAGA